RNAcentral lists this ribosomal RNA (253 nucleotides) under uncultured bacterium. RNAcentral's name for it is "partial 16S ribosomal RNA". It matches the Rfam family "Bacterial small subunit ribosomal RNA", at positions 524 to 776 of the family's 1533-position model. The record is from RNAcentral.
UACGUAGGGUGCAAGCGUUAAUCGGAAUUACUGGGCGUAAAGCGUGCGCAGGCGGUUUUGUAAGACUGUCGUGAAAUCCCCGGGCUUAACCUGGGAAUGGCGAUGGUGACUGCAAGGCUAGAGUUUGGCAGAGGGGGGUAGAAUUCCACGUGUAGCAGUGAAAUGCGUAGAUAUGUGGAGGAACACCGAUGGCGAAGGCAGCCCCCCGGGUCAAAACUGACGCUCAUGCGCGAAAGCGUGGGGAGCAAACAGG